CCACCGCUGACGAGUCCCAGACAGGACGAAACAGCUGUUCGGUGC
This is a non-coding RNA of Echinostoma caproni, 45 nucleotides long. The record is from Rfam. Lineage: Eukaryota; Metazoa; Platyhelminthes; Trematoda; Plagiorchiida; Echinostomatidae.